This 860-nucleotide unclassified non-coding RNA is filed under the name Hevea brasiliensis (rubber tree). The record is from RNAcentral. Lineage: Eukaryota; Viridiplantae; Streptophyta; Magnoliopsida; Malpighiales; Euphorbiaceae.
GGUACUUCUCAAAAAAUGGUUGCUGAUGUAGAAUGACUUGGGAAAAUCUUGAAUUCUUUAGCAAUUAGGAUUAGGAUUUGUAAAACUCAAGAAAUUAGGGCUCAAGGAUAAAAAUCAAAGAGAACGUUAGGCAAAAAAAAUAAAACUUCUAGUGGGAUACUAGCCUCAUAUUAGCAGGGAUCUAUGAUUCAACCCUAUCAAAAAAAGCCUCACAAUUUUGAAAAUUAGAAAUGCCCACACAAUGCAAAGAAGCCAUUGGUGCCAGAAAUUAUUCAUUGACAAAAAUCGAUUAAUAAACCUUUCAAGUUUAGGUAUUUAUAGGCUCAAAAUAGUUAUAAGCCUACAAAUACAUGAACUUCACAGAACUAAAACUAACUACCAGAUUUAUUAGGACCCAUGCUCAGACUCAAAAUUAAAUAGACUUAAACUAAGACCCAAGACACUGUGGGCUGUCGGCUGCCUAUUCCAGAAAAAUAGUAAAAUUACUUAAAUGCACCUGAUUAGUGAAAUUUCCCUCGUGCUGUACUGUAAACAGUAAUCUGCCAUAAUGUUUAAUAAUCUAAUUCCCAAAUGGAGUUCCUUUACUGUUAGCAUCAUUUGCAUUAUUCAGAUCAUGUUUCUUUUGGGAUGCUGAUUACUUAUGUGGGAGAUUUCCUUGAUUGAUAUGGAUCUCUUCAUUUCAUGUGCUUAGUGCUCUUUCAAUCAUUGAUUAUGAUGCGUUACUUCCACCCCUCCCUCUUCUUUUUCCUUUUUAUCUUUAAAAGUCCUUGUUUAGCUUUGAGAAGGUUGCUUUAUAUUGAUCAUGAUAUGUAUUGGCAUAUCGAUGUUGCUUAUGUUAUUGGGCCAAUGCCUUUUUCCAG